CUGUUAUACCUACUGUCUCCUCCCCUCCACCCUACCAGGGUCGUCCCAUCACACCAGUGUACACCAUGACCCACAACAUGCAGCGUAUCCCCACGGCCAGUGGUCUGUACGGAGCAGGCUAUAUGCCCAUCACCAACUACAACGCUGCUGCCCUGGCAGCCCUGCAGAAGAACGCAGCCGUGGCCGCUGCAGCCUACGGAGGGUACGCGGGUUACGCCAUGCCCCAGGCCUUCCCUGCCGCAGCGUUUCAGGUGCCCAUCCACGACGUCUACCAGACCUACUGACAACAGAUACCAGACCUACUGACAACAGAUACCAGACCUACUGACAACAGAUACCAGACCUACUGACAACAGAUACCACACCUACUGACAACAGAUACCAGACCUACUGACAACAGAUACCAGCUACCAGACCGACUGACAACAGAUACCAGCUACCAGACCGACUGACAACAUCUACCAGCUACCAAACCUACUGACAACAGCUACCAGCUACCAAACCUACUGACAACAGAUACCAGACCUACUGACAACAGCUACCAGACCUACUGACAACAGCUACCAGACCUACUGACAACAGCUACCAGACCUACUGACAACAGAUACCAGACCUACUGACAACAGAUACCAGACCUACUGACAACAGCUACCAGACCUACUGACAACAGAUACCAAACCUACUGACAACAGCUACCAGACCUACUGACAACAGCUACCAGACCUACUGACAACAGAUACCAGCUACCAGCUGUCUGGUCCACAACUCCUGUUCAACCACCACUCAACGUUCAAACAACUUUUGUAUCACGACGUCAGGAACUACAGACGACCUACAGAAGACCUCAUCCCCACAUAUCACCUCCCCCCCCCCCCCCCCGUUCAAAUAACGACACGUCAACUCAAUGUCUUCAACAGCAACGUCUACGCGACGUCUACGCGACGUCCACAAUGUAAAAAACCCAACCUAAAUGGACCCUUGAACGCAAACUCUACUCUGCGUCGGUUCUUCAACGUUAGCCCAACAUCUAGGCUACGUUAUGACGUGCGCCAAAACCUUCGACGUUUUCACAACGUCUAUGCAACGUCCUACUGACAGGUUGAUCACAUUGGGUCCUAAUGAAUACUGGACCAGACGUUCACACAACGUUCACACAACAUUCACACAAUGUAUUCUAUGAAUAGAAUAGAGCCUAUAUCGCUCAUAUUCAAAUCUGGAGAGUUCCUCUGCAUUGUUUCAUUGUUCCCCUCUAAUCAGGGACUGAUUUAGACCUGGGACACCAGUCAUUGUUCCCCUCUAAUCAGGGACUGAUUUAGACCUGGGACACCAGUCAUUGUUCCCCUCUAAUCAGGGA
This is a long non-coding RNA of Oncorhynchus gorbuscha (pink salmon), 1354 nucleotides long. RefSeq lists it as uncharacterized. The record is from RefSeq and is a predicted model, not a curated record. NCBI's taxonomy places the organism in Eukaryota, Metazoa, Chordata, Actinopteri, Salmoniformes, Salmonidae. The transcript is spliced from 3 exons.